UACGUAGGGGGCAAGCGUUGUCCGGAAUCAUUGGGCGUAAAGAGCGUGUAGGCGGCCCGAUAAGUCCGCUGUGAAAGUCCAGGGCUCAACCCUGGGAUGCCGGUGGAUACUGUCGGGCUCGAGUCCGGAAGAGGAGUGUGGAAUUCCUGGUGUAGCGGUGAAAUGCGUAGAGAUGCGGAGGAACACCAGUGGCGAAAGCGACUUUCUGGGACGGUACUGACGCUGAGACGCGAAAGCGUGGGGAGCGAACAGG
This 253-nucleotide ribosomal RNA is filed under the name uncultured bacterium. RNAcentral's name for it is "partial 16S ribosomal RNA". It matches the Rfam family "Bacterial small subunit ribosomal RNA", at positions 524 to 776 of the family's 1533-position model. The record is from RNAcentral.